Molecule: long non-coding RNA, 1718 nt
Organism: Ictalurus punctatus (channel catfish)
Lineage: Eukaryota; Metazoa; Chordata; Actinopteri; Siluriformes; Ictaluridae
Source: Ensembl
UACCUGUGCAGUGCCGCCACACUGUGCAGUUUUUUUCUCACAGAGAUAUGCUCUCUUCAAUGUUAAGAAAGAAAAAUAAUUUUUGAGUAUUUCAAUAUUUAAAAAAAAGAAGAAGAAAUUAGUGUUAAAUAUUUCAAUAGUACAAUGGGCUGUAGAACUCGAGACGUUUUCUGUAUCGACUCGACUUGCCUUGGAUCUGUUGACAUUUGUACUCAGACUUGGGCAUUGGUCUUGCUCAAUAUGGUCUUAGUCUUGAUUGAGAGUAAAAAUAAUUUGCCUUUUCUUUUUGCAUACACAAAUUUAGGCAAGUAGUAACUCCUUGUAGAAAACCAGCCUGAUCAUCAUAACACUCAUAUGAAGCCAAAUAGCUGAAGGAAAGGCCUGUGGAAAUUAAGGAUUUGAAUUGUCCUUGACCCCCACUUGGUCUUGACUCAAACUCCUUAUCUUGGCCUUCAAAAUGGCAGUCUUGAUUAUAGCUCUAUACUGUAUUUUAGUAGUCAUCAAUCUAGCUUCAGUAAACAUUAUCAGAUUUAUAAACACUCCAGUCUGCCAGGGGGCAGUGGAGAUAGUUACAGGUCAUAUGUGCUAUUAGUUAUGCAUAAAAAAGCCAUUAUUUCAUUUUUGUCUGGCAAACUGUAUAAAAAAUUAAGCAUGAUGCAAACCUAUAUGAAUAAAUCAGGAAUAUAAUAGCAACUAAGCUAAGCAUGGAAUAGUCCUCAAACAUCCAGCAAUACUCCAUACUGUCCAUAACCUGUUCCACAUUUUCACCAAGUAAAAUUGUGACUUUCUAUAAAUUUAUACAAAAUAUCUUUCAUCUUUGUGCUCAGACAAGAGACUUCUGUUCAUUUCUUAAAGGUCAGUUAUGAAUUUAUACAUGAAUGAUUUACAUUAAUAUCAUCUUUAAUAUUUAACGUACCUUAAAGGGAGGUAAAUUAUUUUAGUUGGAGAUUGGUGCAACAAUUAGACAUAACUUUUAAUAAUAAUUCAUUUGUCGGUUUAUCUCCCAGGACGGAGAUAUAAUCUCAGUCAUGUUCAAGUGAGUAGUGAACUUAUACAGAUGUGUGACUAACGCAGUAAAGCACCAAUCAGUCUGUUUUUCAGAUCGCAAAAUGGCAAAACAGGCAACUAAUACGACAAAAAAAGACAUUUAUUGUGAUUACAGGGAAAAAAAAUCUUUUAAAUUUUGUGUAUAUGGUAUGACAUUUCCUCUACAGAAAAGAUUUUGGUCAAACAGUAAUAAAUAAAUAAAUAACUCUCAAAUAUUUAUAUUAUUAUAAUACAUUUCAGUUAAAUAAAAACGAGCUAAUGAUCUAGCUAAUUUUAGGUCAUGUUUUAGCAAAAAUAUUUCAGGUAAUGUUCUAGCAGGAAUGUUUUAGGUAAUGUUCUAGCAGGAAACUUUAGGUAAUGUUCUAGCGGGACAUAAUUUUAGGUAAUGUUCUAGCAGGAAUGUUUUAGGUAAUGUUCCAGCAGGAAUGUUUUAGGUAAUGUUCUAGCAGGAAUGUUUUAGGUAAUGUUCCAGCAGGAAUAUUUUAAUUAAUGUUCUAGCAAGAAUAUUUUUAAGUAAUGUUCUAGCAAGAAUAUUUCAAGUAAUGUUCUAGCAGGAAACUUCAGGUAAUGUUCUAGCAGGAAACUUUAGGAAUUUUUUAAGGCAUUGUAGCAGACACCCUUGUCUGCCAUGGGCGACUUACCAUUAUCUCAUUUAUACAACUGAGCAGUUG